GUGGAAUAUUUUUUUCAUUUACCCCAAUAUUUAUUUCAUUUUUUUUUUAGUUCUGCACCCUUAUUCUUCCGGUUUUCCCUUAAUUUGGACAUUAAACUUAGUUUACAUCUUCUUUUACCCAGUUGUCCUAUUCCGCCCAGUGCAGAGGGAAGGAGCAGGGAUUGCUGCAGAUGUAGACGGCAUGCAGGAAGUGCAGGUUAGAAAUGUAGGAAGUACUCUAUAUGUGCACUAUUGACAAGGGUGGUGGUUACUUAACCCUAUAUGUGCAAGAAGUAGAGCAACACAAUGCAUUGUGAACCCCCUGCAAUUACACAUUUACCUUUACAACCUAUGAAGCUAUGAUAGGACAGUAUUCAAUAAGGAUAUCUAAGGACAUGAUUACAGAGACAGAAACUCUGGAUCCAGAAAAAGAGUGAAAACUAUUGGUGUUUGGCCGCAUUUUUAUUACCUUUUGACCAGAUUAUUUCCUGCUCAUCUUUUCAAGGCAACGUAUUAAAAUACACAGCAUAUAUCAAUGGCUGUACCCGCGGGACCCUGUUCCAUGGCAGUGUCCUUCCUGCAAGGACCUUGUAAGUGAAGCGUCCCAUCUUGCUGGACCCUCCAUCCCAUGGGGCUGUUUGGAGGUGCCUGCUAGGAGUCGGGAGGGCAGAGGAGAGGGUGGAUGAUGCUUAUACCAUCACUGGGCCUGUUCUGUCUCUCUUCUCCUGCAUUAGAGAUUGGCUCUGAGAGAGGGGAAGGCGGUUGCAGCAUAAUAUUACCUUGUGAUUCUAUGACCCUCCUCUAUGCAUCCCUAACUCUCAAAAGCUGAUUCAGCUUUCAGCUCGUGCUCUGGUGACUCCGCUGCUGCAACCGACUCUUCUAUCAGGGUAUGUCUCUCUCCCCUCACACACCCUCCUUUUUCUAUGCUGUUCUCUUUUAGUUAGCUUGCUUUAAAUAUCAUAGAAUAUUACCUGCUCCAUUCAAACUUGCCUGAUGACUUUGAAUGAGCAUCUUUUAGAGGUUGGAUGUUUGAGCGCUGCAUGCAAAGGCUUAUUUGGGUGAUUGUGCAGAAAGAUGCUUCUCAAUGCAGAAUUCUGCCGAGCCAGCAAUUGAAGUGGAUGCAUAAAGGCUGAAAUCUUACAAGUUUGGCGUGUAAUCAUUUGGUGUGGUUAUCAUGUUCUGUGCUAGUGGAGGCCUGUGUUGUGAGAUGCUCCAGGGAAGAGAAAGGGUUAGCACCAGCCGUGUGAAGCUACAUUAAGACAGGACUGUGUACAUGAAUUGAACGUUUUUAUUAGCACACAGCAUCACUGUAAGGAAAUGCAUGCAGACACAGUAACACGCUACAUGGUUCAGUGUUCAAUGACUUUAAAAUUAAAUAACAUUUAAAGCAUCUUUUUCUCGUUGCCCUUGGGUAGAUUUUGUAUGUUAUAAUCUAAAUAACUUUGUAUAAGUCCAUGUCCACAAGCAAUAUGCAGAGGGUUUAACAAGAAGAAUAUACUGCAUGAUAUGACAGGAGUACUUUCUG
Non-coding RNA from Pelobates cultripes (western spadefoot toad), 1504 nucleotides. The record is from the annotation of a GenBank genome assembly. Lineage: Eukaryota; Metazoa; Chordata; Amphibia; Anura; Pelobatidae.